This 442-nucleotide ribosomal RNA is filed under the name uncultured bacterium. RNAcentral's name for it is "partial 16S ribosomal RNA". It matches the Rfam family "Bacterial small subunit ribosomal RNA", at positions 338 to 795 of the family's 1533-position model. The record is from RNAcentral.
CCUACGGGAGGCAGCAGUGGGGAAUAUUGGGCAAUGGGCGAAAGCCUGACCCAGCAACGCCGCGUGAAUGAAGAAGGCUUUCGGGUUGUAAACUUCUUUUGACAGGGAGGAGGAGAAGACGGUACCUGUCGAAUAAGCCACGGCUAAAUACGUGCCAGCAGCCGGGGUAAUACGGAGGUGGCAAGCGUUGUCCGGAUUUACUGGGGGUAAAGGGCGUGUAGCCGGGCAGACAAGUCAGAUGUGAAAGCCGGGGGCUCAACCCCCGAACUGCAUUUGAAACUGUUGGGCUUGAGUAUCGGAGAGGCAGGUGGAAUUCCUAGUGUAGCGGUGAAAUGCGUAGAUAUUAGGAGGAACACCAGUGGCGAAGGCGGCCUGUUGGACGACAACUGACGGUGAGGCGCGAAAGCGUGGGGAGCAAACAGGAUUAGAUACCCUAGUAGUC